Molecule: long non-coding RNA, 408 nt
Filed under: Numida meleagris (helmeted guineafowl)
Lineage: Eukaryota; Metazoa; Chordata; Aves; Galliformes; Numididae
Description: lncRNA (ENSNMEG00000007826.1)
Source: RNAcentral
GUAAUUUUAUUGCCCAUUCUGUUCUGUUGCAGUUUUCUAAUCUGCAUUGUGUCUGAAGGAAAUGAGAAGUAGAAUUUCUCCUUCCUCCAAAGUCCUGUUAAUUUUAAUCCUUUUGCUGGAUUCAUGCUGCAGCCAGGAGUACUGCAAAGUGACAGUGACUGAAAUUAUAGAAAAACUAUCUUAAGAACACGGACAAAUUAAAGCCAACAAGAUGUUAGUGGCACUCUUAGGGAAGUAGCGUCCCCCAGACCCAACUCCUUCAGAGGUUCUCAGGGAAGAAUGCUACGGGAAAAUGUUGAACUGAUAAAGUAAGUGAUUUGCAGUCUCAUUCUCAUAAAAUGACUCUUGUUUGUUCUUGAAGGCUAAAAAAGCUAGAAUAAACUCAAUGGGCUGCAGAGCUAAAAGGCA